GAUGAACGCUGGCGGCAUGCCUAAUACAUGCAAGUCGAGCGAACCGACGAGGACCUUGCUCCCCUGACGUUAGCAGCGGACGGGUGAGUACCACGUGGAUAACCUAACUCUACGAAUGGGAUACCUUCGGGAAACAGGAGCUAAUACCGGAUCAUAUAUUGCACUGCAUGGUUCACUAGUGAAAGUAGGUUUUGCUGUCCCUUAUAGCUGGCUCCGCGCCGCAUUCGCUAGUUGGUAAGGUAACGGCUUACCAAGGCAACGAUGCGUAGCCGACCUGAGCGCGUGUUCGGCCACACUGGAUCUCAGACACGUCCCCGACUCCUACGGGGGGCAGCAGUCGCGACUCUUCCGCAAUGUGCGAAAGGCUGACGGUGCAACCCCGCCUGAGGGAUGAUGGUCUUCUGAUCGUAAACCUCUGUUAGUAUGUAAGAACAAAUGUGUAAGUAACUAGGCACAUCUUGACGGUACCUAAUCAGAAAGCCCCGGCUAACUACGUG
Molecule: ribosomal RNA, 497 nt
Filed under: uncultured bacterium
Lineage: Bacteria
Description: partial 16S ribosomal RNA
Rfam family: Bacterial small subunit ribosomal RNA
Source: RNAcentral